RNAcentral lists this ribosomal RNA (468 nucleotides) under uncultured bacterium. Its description in RNAcentral is "partial 16S ribosomal RNA". It matches the Rfam family "Bacterial small subunit ribosomal RNA", at positions 28 to 507 of the family's 1533-position model. The record is from RNAcentral.
GACGAACGCUGGCGGCGUGCUUAACACAUGCAAGUCGAACGGAAAGGCCCUGCUUUUGUGGGGUGCUCGAGUGGCGAACGGGGGUGUAACACGUGAGUAACCUGCCCUUUACUUUGGGAUAACUUCAGGAAACUGGGGCUAAUACCGGAUAUGAGCUCCGGCUGCAUGGUGGGGGUGGGAAAGUUUCGGCGGUUGGGGUUGGACUCGCGGCUUAUCAGCUUGUUGGUGGGGUAGUGGUUUACCAAGGCUUUGACGGGGAGACGGCGUGGGAGGGUGACCGGGCACAGUGGGACUGGGAUUGGGACCCGACUCCUACGGGAGGCAGCAGUAGGGGAGAUUACACAACGGGAGGGAGCCUGAUGCAGCAGCGGCGCGGGCGGGAUAAGGGUGUUGGGGUUGUAAACGGAUUUCGCCUGUAACGGAGAGUGAGUGGAGGUAAUGGGUAGAGAAGCACCGGCUAACUACGUG